This 482-nucleotide ribosomal RNA is filed under the name uncultured bacterium. RNAcentral's name for it is "partial 16S ribosomal RNA". It matches the Rfam family "Bacterial small subunit ribosomal RNA", at positions 28 to 507 of the family's 1533-position model. The record is from RNAcentral.
GAUGAACGCUGGCGGCGUGCCUAAUACAUGCAAGUCGAACGCUUCACUUCGGUGAAGAGUGGCGAACGGGUGAGUAAUACAUAAGUAACCUGGCAUCUACAGGGGGAUAACUGAUGGAAACGUCAGCUAAGACCGCAUAGGUGUAGAGAUCGCAUGAACUCUAUAUGAAAAGUGCUACGGGACUGAUAGAUGAUGGACUUAUGGCGCAUUAGCUUGUUGGUAGGGUAACGGCCUACCAAGGCGACGAUGCGUAGCCGACCUGAGAGGGUGACCGGCCACACUGGGACUGAGACACGGCCCAGACUCCUACGGGAGGCAGCAGUAGGGAAUUUUCGGCAAUGGGGGAAACCCUGACCGAGCAACGCCGCGUGAAGGAAGAAGUAAUUCGUUAUGUAAACUUCUGUCAUAGAGGAAGAACGGUGGAUAUAGGGAAUGAUAUCCAAGUGACGGUACUCUAUAAGAAAGCCACGGCUAACUACGUG